AGCAGCCGCGGUAAAUUCCAGCUCCAAUAGCGUAUAUUAAAGUUGUUGCAGUUAAAAAGCUCGUAGUUGAAUUUCGGGAUCAAUAUGUUGGUCGUGCCCUUGGUACGUACUAAUUUAUUGGUUUCUUCCUUCUGACGAGCCAUAAUGUCAUUAAUUUGAUGUCAUGGGGAAUCAGGACUGUUACUUUGAAAAAAUUAGAGUGUUUAAAGCAGGCUCACGCUUGAAUACAUUAGCAUGGAAUAAUGAAAUAGGACGUUUUGAUUCUAUUUUGUUGGUUUCUAGGAUCGACGUAAUGAUUAAUAGGGAUAGUUGGGGGCAUUAGUAUUCAAUUGUCAGAGGUGAAAUUCUUGGAUUUAUUGAAGACUAACUACUGCGAAAGCAUUUGCCAAGGAUGUUUUCA
This 400-nucleotide ribosomal RNA is filed under the name uncultured Glomeromycotina. Its description in RNAcentral is "SSU rRNA". It matches the Rfam family "Eukaryotic small subunit ribosomal RNA", at positions 569 to 972 of the family's 1831-position model. Lineage: Eukaryota; Fungi; Glomeromycota. The record is from RNAcentral.